RNAcentral lists this ribosomal RNA (447 nucleotides) under uncultured bacterium. RNAcentral's name for it is "bacterial SSU rRNA". It matches the Rfam family "Bacterial small subunit ribosomal RNA", at positions 355 to 825 of the family's 1533-position model. The record is from RNAcentral.
UCGGGAAUUUUGGGCAAUGGGCGAAAGCCUGACCCAGCAACGCCGCGUGAGUGACGAAGGCCUUAGGGUUGUAAAGCUCUUUUGGCGGGGAAGAUAAUGACGGUACCCGCAGAAUAAGCUCCGGCUAACUUCGUGCCAGCAGCCGCGGUAAUACGAAGGGAGCUAGCGUUGUUCGGAAUCACUGGGCGUAAAGCGCACGUAGGCGGAUGUGUCAGUCAGGGGUGAAAUCCCGGAGCUCAACUUCGGAACUGCCCUUGAUACAGCACGUCUUGAGUCCGAUAGAGGUGGGUGGAAUUCCUAGUGUAGAGGUGAAAUUCGUAGAUAUUAGGAAGAACACCGGUGGCGAAGGCGGCCCACUGGAUCGGUACUGACGCUGAGGUGCGAAAGCGUGGGGAGCAAACAGGAUUAGAUACCCCCGUAGUCCCUGAGCGGGCUGGCAAGGCGCAU